RNAcentral lists this ribosomal RNA (920 nucleotides) under human gut metagenome. Its description in RNAcentral is "bacterial SSU rRNA". It matches the Rfam family "Bacterial small subunit ribosomal RNA", at positions 8 to 910 of the family's 1533-position model. The record is from RNAcentral.
AGAGUUUGAUCCUGGCUCAGGACGAACGCUGGCGGCGUGCCUAAUACAUGCAAGUAGAACGCUGAAGAGAGGAGCUUGCUCUUCUUGGAUGAGUUGCGAACGGGUGAGUAACGCGUAGGUAACCUGCCUUGUAGCGGGGGAUAACUAUUGGAAACGAUAGCUAAUACCGCAUAACAAUGGAUGACUCAUGUCAUUUAUUUGAAAGGGGCAAAUGCUCCACUACAAGAUGGACCUGCGUUGUAUUAGCUAGUAGGUGAGGUAACGGCUCACCUAGGCGACGAUACAUAGCCGACCUGAGAGGGUGAUCGGCCACACUGGGACUGAGACACGGCCCAGACUCCUACGGGAGGCAGCAGUAGGGAAUCUUCGGCAAUGGGGGCAACCCUGACCGAGCAACGCCGCGUGAGUGAAGAAGGUUUUCGGAUCGUAAAGCUCUGUUGUAAGUCAAGAACGAGUGUGAGAGUGGAAAGUUCACACUGUGACGGUAGCUUACCAGAAAGGGACGGCUAACUACGUGCCAGCAGCCGCGGUAAUACGUAGGUCCCGAGCGUUGUCCGGAUUUAUUGGGCGUAAAGCGAGCGCAGGCGGUUUGAUAAGUCUGAAGUUAAAGGCUGUGGCUCAACCAUAGUUCGCUUUGGAAACUGUCAAACUUGAGUGCAGAAGGGGAGAGUGGAAUUCCAUGUGUAGCGGUGAAAUGCGUAGAUAUAUGGAGGAACACCGGUGGCGAAAGCGGCUCUCUGGUCUGUAACUGACGCUGAGGCUCGAAAGCGUGGGGAGCGAACAGGAUUAGAUACCCUGGUAGUCCACGCCGUAAACGAUGAGUGCUAGGUGUUGGAUCCUUUCCGGGAUUCAGUGCCGCAGCUAACGCAUUAAGCACUCCGCCUGGGGAGUACGACCGCAAGGUUGAAACUCAAAGGAAU